This 1060-nucleotide long non-coding RNA is filed under the name Anas zonorhyncha (Eastern spot-billed duck). RNAcentral describes it as "lncRNA (ENSAZOG00000013748.1)". Lineage: Eukaryota; Metazoa; Chordata; Aves; Anseriformes; Anatidae. The record is from RNAcentral.
CCUUAAUGAGUCACACCUUGAACUCGCUAAUGGAGAUGGAACAGUUAAUUAGGCAAGGGGAUUAGCCAAAGAACAAUUCAUCUUCUUUAUCAACACAAUCCAUGCUGUGACUCUCAUCUUUGCCCUGUACGUCUGACCUUCAUACUGUGCAAAAGACAUUCUUGGUGACACUACCCAUGGGCAACACCUUCUUCUAAUUACCUUCUACAAGGGGGAUUUCAUCAUCAGGGUUCCUGCUCUGUGUGUGUGUAUAUAUAUAUGUAUCUGCACACACAGAUGCGUGAAUGCGCAUUUAAGCUAAGUGUUCUGGAACCAACCUUGGAACACAGGUUGGCUGUGAAACAGGUCAAGAAACUAUGUCUGCCAUGAAGAUAACAGGCACUUUUGUGCUCCUCACCCUGGCAGUUCUUUGCUUAGCAAAUGCUGCCAAAGAGGAUGCGGUAAGUCAUUUUCUCCUUUAUUUCUUGACAAAAAUACAUAGUUUGUAACAACAGUGCACAGAGAUUGAUGAGGUCAGAGAAAACAUACUAAGCAUUAAUUAAUUGCAGCCAAAGUAAAAAAGAAAUCCCUGAGGUUGAGAUAUGUGGUUUCCAUAUAGUUGCCCUGACACCUUCCAGAUGUUUGUUUGUAUAAUGCAGUCUGUGCAAGAGAAUGGGUAAGGCAAAAUUAUAAGCCAGAAAAAUCAAGAUUUAAAAAAAAAUAUUUAUCUGAUGACAUUAUAAGGCUUGCUUGGUGACUUUCAGAUCCUAAAUCAUACACUUAAAGAUUUUAAUUUAUCCCUGACUGAUGGAGCACCCAUUCUGGUGUCAUCCUCUGAAAUAAAUGAGCCACUAAGUAAUACAAGUCCAUGCUGAGGUGACCAGAGACAAUUCCUUGAGGGGUCCAGCGGAGAGCAGCAGUGUGUGGAAAUCCGUGCGUGAACAGACACAGCAUGGCCCCAAACUAGCAAAACAUACACAGCAUUCAGUGCUUGAACCUACACAGCCAUACACUCUUUUCCAGGAAGAGACUGUUCCACUCUCCCGUUUUACAAACCAUUACAUGUAUAUACGAGGCAAAU